GACGAACGCUGGCGGCGUGCCUAAUACAUGCGAGUAGAACGCUGAAGCUUGGUGCUUGCACCGAGCGGAUGAGUUGCGAACGGGUGAGUAACGCGUAGGUAACCUGCCUGGUAGCGGGGGAUAACUAUUGGAAACGAUAGCUAAUACCGCAUAAGAGUAGAUGUUGCAUGACAUUUGCUUAAAAGGUGCAAUUGCAUCACUACCAGAUGGACCUGCGUUGUAUUAGCUAGUUGGUGAGGUAACGGCUCACCAAGGCAACGAUACAUAGCCGACCUGAGAGGGUGAUCGGCCACACUGGGACUGAGACACGGCCCAGACUCCUACGGGAGGCAGCAGUAGGGAAUCUUCGGCAAUGGACGGAAGUCUGACCGAGCAACGCCGCGGGAGUGAAGAAGGGUUUCGGAUCGUAAAGCUCGGUUGUAAGAGAAGAACGAGUGUGAGAGUGGAAAGUUCACACUGUGACGGUAUCUUACCAGAAAGGGACGGCUAACUACGUG
Molecule: ribosomal RNA, 497 nt
Filed under: uncultured bacterium
Lineage: Bacteria
Description: partial 16S ribosomal RNA
Rfam family: Bacterial small subunit ribosomal RNA
Source: RNAcentral